RNAcentral lists this unclassified non-coding RNA (312 nucleotides) under Hevea brasiliensis (rubber tree). The record is from RNAcentral. Lineage: Eukaryota; Viridiplantae; Streptophyta; Magnoliopsida; Malpighiales; Euphorbiaceae.
ACAGGUUCCACUAAUCCAGAGAUAUUGUUGCAGAAAAAUAUUGGCUGGUUAAAUUUCUCAUCAUGAACAUAGAGCAAAGGCAUGUCAAAUGCAGUAAAGUUUGGAUCUGGUUUAUUUGAGACAAAGACCAUGCGCACAUUUGACAAGUAAAUAGUCCCUUUUGCUUUCACACGAUCACUAUUAGCCCCGGGGAUCUUAUCAAUCUCAAAUUCAACGCCAUCUCUAGCCAAUACGAAGAGCUCGUUGGUGAAGGGAACGGGCAUCCCAUUUGGAAAUAGAUUAGGGUUGAGAGCCAUGGAAGAUUAGAAGUGA